Molecule: ribosomal RNA, 448 nt
Filed under: uncultured bacterium
Lineage: Bacteria
Description: bacterial SSU rRNA
Rfam family: Bacterial small subunit ribosomal RNA
Source: RNAcentral
CACCAGACUCCUACGGGAGGCAGCAGUGGGGAAUAUUGCACAAUGGGGGAAACCCUGAUGCAGCGACGCCGCGUGAGCGAUGAAGUAUUUCGGUAUGUAAAGCUCUAUCAGCAGGGAAGAAAAUGACGGUACCUGACUAAGAAGCCCCGGCUAACUACGUGCCAGCAGCCGCGGUAAUACGUAGGGGGCAAGCGUUAUCCGGAUUUACUGGGUGUAAAGGGAGCGUAGACGGCUGUGCAAGCCAGAUGUGAAAGCCCGGGGCUCAACCCCGGGACUGCAUUUGGAACUGUGUGGCUGGAGUGUCGGAGAGGCAGGCGGAAUUCCUAGUGUAGCGGUGAAAUGCGUAGAUAUUAGGAGGAACACCAGUGGCGAAGGCGGCCUGCUGGACGAUGACUGACGUUGAGGCUCGAAAGCGUGGGGAGCAAACAGGAUUAGAUACCCCUGUAAG